Molecule: ribosomal RNA, 169 nt
Filed under: uncultured bacterium
Lineage: Bacteria
Description: partial 16S ribosomal RNA
Rfam family: Bacterial small subunit ribosomal RNA
Source: RNAcentral
CCUACGGGAGGCAGCAGUGGGGAAUCUUAGACAAUGGGGGAAACCCUGAUCUAGCCAUGCCGCGUGAUCGAUGAAGGCCUUAGGGUUGUAAAGACCUUUCAGUGGGGAAGAUAAUGACGGUACCCACAGAAGAAGCCCCGGCUAACUCCGUGCCAGCAGCCGCGGUAAU